UACGUAGGGGGCAAGCGUUGUCCGGAAUCAUUGGGCGUAAAGAGCGUGUAGGCGGCUCGGUAAGUCCGCUGUGAAAGUCGGGGGCUCAACCCUCGAAUGCCGGUGGAUACUGUCGGGCUAGAGUGCGGAAGAGGCGAGUGGAAUUCCUGGUGUAGCGGUGAAAUGCGCAGAUAUCAGGAGGAACACCUAUUGCGAAGGCAGCUCGCUGGGACGUAACUGACGCUGAGACGCGAAAGCGUGGGGAGCAAACAGG
RNAcentral lists this ribosomal RNA (253 nucleotides) under uncultured bacterium. RNAcentral describes it as "partial 16S ribosomal RNA". It matches the Rfam family "Bacterial small subunit ribosomal RNA", at positions 524 to 776 of the family's 1533-position model. The record is from RNAcentral.